This 380-nucleotide ribosomal RNA is filed under the name Staphylococcus aureus. Its description in RNAcentral is "bacterial SSU rRNA". It matches the Rfam family "Bacterial small subunit ribosomal RNA", at positions 202 to 574 of the family's 1533-position model. Lineage: Bacteria; Bacillati; Bacillota; Bacilli; Caryophanales; Staphylococcaceae. The record is from RNAcentral.
GACGGUCUUGCUGUCACUUAUAGAUGGAUCCGCGCUGCAUUAGCUAGUUGGUAAGGUAACGGCUUACCAAGGCAACGAUGCAUAGCCGACCUGAGAGGGUGAUCGGCCACACUGGAACUGAGACACGGUCCAGACUCCUACGGGAGGCAGCAGUAGGGAAUCUUCCGCAAUGGGCGAAAGCCUGACGGAGCAACGCCGCGUGAGUGAUGAAGGUCUUCGGAUCGUAAAACUCUGUUAUUAGGGAAGAACAUAUGUGUAAGUAACUGUGCACAUCUUGACGGUACCUAAUCAGAAAGCCACGGCUAACUACGUGCCAGCAGCCGCGGUAAUACGUAGGUGGCAAGCGUUAUCCGGAAUUAUUGGGCGUAAAGCGCGCGUAG